Molecule: long non-coding RNA, 1030 nt
Organism: Ananas comosus (pineapple)
Lineage: Eukaryota; Viridiplantae; Streptophyta; Magnoliopsida; Poales; Bromeliaceae
Exons: 3
Source: RefSeq, a predicted model, not a curated record
GAUCCGCCGGACCAGGUUUUGGGCGCAUCGUACCGUAGGCGGAGGAACCGAAGAGGGAACUUUGUAUGGCCUGGAGGUUUCGGACGCCCAGAAGUAGGUUUCGGGCGCCCGAAAGUGCUCGUUCCUACAGGACAGCAGGUUUGUAUUCUUUUGUUCCUGGGGCUUAUCAGACCUACUCUUCUCCUUAUAAAAGGCUUGUGUUCGAUCCCUGAGAAGCUUUUUCACCUCUCCUUCACAGUGAAGCCAUAUUUUGCACUCUAGUCCUUCAAAAUACUACAAUUUAUCCAAAUUCUACAAUUUCCACCUUGAGCAUUGCAAUUCCAGCAGAAUUCCAGCAGCGACCUUCGGCGUUUUGGCUCGUGUGCGACGUAGGAAGGUCGGUUUGCUGCGAAACUUAGUUUGGUGGUUAGUAGACUUCUUGGAGAUUUCGUGGAGCCCAUUUUGACAGGAAUUGAUUUAAGUUAGUAUGGUUAAUUUGCUGUUUUUCUGAACUGCUACUGUAUUGGAGCUAAAACUUGGGUUUUUCUUAGUUUUCCUGGUUUAAUCUUUAGAGGAAGCUGGAUUUUCGACCAGAGGUUAUUGCUCCACUUUUCCCUACCGGUUUUGAUAGUGUUCUUCACCUGAAUUGUGGAUUUAAAGUUUGAAAGAUCUUUUGAGAGGAGUGUGCUGGUUCGUGGCUGAGCUUGGCAGGGCUUAUUCCAGCUACUUCCUAACCUUGCUGGACUCGCGCUUGAGACUUAGUGGGUGAGCCGUUGAGGUCGAUAGCGGUACCCACUGAGGACUACUUCUUUUUGCAGUAGUUUUCACACCCAGUUGUGGAUCAUUUUUGCAAAGCCCUCUUCUUCGGCUGCUGCUGUCGUAGAGACUGAUCGUGGAAAGGGAGUCGUGAGCUCGAUCCCUUCCCAGUUGCUGCUAACCUAGAGAUUUAUACCAGCUACAGGUAGUUGUAGUUUUUUGUUCUUAUACAUACUGAUGUUGUACCUUGCUGAAGCGUGUAUUUUUGUAUCAGGAUACUAUGUAUGUAUGUUGA